GGUGCAUGGUUGUCGUCAGCUCGUGUCGUGAGAUGUUGGGUUAAGUCCCGCAACGAGCGCAACCCUCGCCUCUAGUUGCCAGCAUUCAGUUGGGCACUCUAGAGGGACUGCCGGUGUCAAACCGGAGGAAGGUGGGAUGACGUCAAGUCCUCAUGGCCUUUAUGUCUAGGGCUACACACGUACUACAAUGGCCGGUACAAAGGGCAGCCACUCAGCGAUGAGGCGCUAAUCCCAUAAAGCCGGUCUCAGUCCGGAUCGCAGUCUGCAACUCGACUGCGUGAAGUUGGAAUCGCUAGUAAUCGUAGAUCAGCAUGCCUACGGUCGAAUACGUUCCCGGGCCUU
RNAcentral lists this ribosomal RNA (342 nucleotides) under uncultured Desulfovibrio sp. Its description in RNAcentral is "bacterial SSU rRNA". It matches the Rfam family "Bacterial small subunit ribosomal RNA", at positions 1040 to 1382 of the family's 1533-position model. Lineage: Bacteria; Pseudomonadati; Thermodesulfobacteriota; Desulfovibrionia; Desulfovibrionales; Desulfovibrionaceae. The record is from RNAcentral.